AGGACCAAGGCAGAAGUGCCAUCAACGAAGCACUUAGUGCCAGCAUAUUGCACAAUCUGUUGUGAAAUAAACUGCACAAUUGAUUAGGCAAUUGAAUUGCAUGGUCUGUGUUCUCUGAGUGUAAUACCAGGCAGAGUUUUGCCUAUGUAACUUUUAUGUCGUACAGCAAUGAAUUGGAUUCUGACCAAUGAACCUGUGAACCCUGCGGAGGAGUCGAGCACAGCAUGGGGAUUUAAAAGAAGGUGCGGUGCCACUCUCUGAAAUUCUGCUGGAGUGGGCUCCAACAGGAAGAAGAGCAAAGGGAAAAUGAAGGAGGAGAGGCAGUGGAAGAUGCAAGCUACACCGCCGACAUGUAGCGCAAAUGAAACCCUUCCCAGUGUAGAGAGAACUGAUGUCAUCUUCCUUUUCUCCUCCUCAAGAGCUUGGUUCAGCCUUUGGAAACCACAGGUUUCAACAGGCAGUGCUUUAACCUUCAUCCAAUAAAGUAGACUUACAAUUA
Molecule: non-coding RNA, 499 nt
Organism: Pogona vitticeps (central bearded dragon)
Lineage: Eukaryota; Metazoa; Chordata; Lepidosauria; Squamata; Agamidae
Source: RefSeq, a predicted model, not a curated record